CUCCCGUUCCUCCAUGGAAUUUGCACUACUUUUGCAUUUAUAGCUUAAAUUAAUCAACUUCUGUUGUGGAAGCUCUACCAACUUUUUCACAGGAUAAAUUAGGUUUUGGGCUAUUUCGUCGCUCCAACUUUGUUGCAUCAAGUUGCCGAACCUCUGGCUGAAUGAGUUUAUUCUGCUUCGUUGGAACUGAAGAAAGGGGGAAAUUUUACAAUGGUGUCUGAAUUGAAUUUUAGAAUUUUCGUGGGAAUUUAUUGUGAAAAAUGGAUUUUUACAGGAAUUUUAUUGUGACGGUUGGUAUAUAAAAAUUAUUUUUAUUAUUCUUUGUGGCGGGUAGGGGCUUAGUUACGUUCUUACGACUCUGUGUUCUGAAGAUUUUCUGGUAUUUGCAUCAAAACAGUGUGCUUCUAUUUUUGAUUUUUCGCAUAAUCUUUUCAACGUUAGUGGUAAUGCAUUGCAUUCGACAAACCUCAAAAUCAAAGUUUUAAAUAAUGAAGCUCUUGCAAUCAUUUUCAAGACUGAAUGGGAAAAUUGGCUUAUUGUGAUGAACACUUUUGUUGGUUAUUGCACAUUCACACACGUUAACAUAAUAACAAAUCCAAUAGGACCAGGGGAAGAGUUUGUUUUCAUUAAAAGAAUUACAUCUUGUUGUUACUGGUAUUCUACAGGUGCCUUAAUUAUCUUCUGAUCUUCUUAUUGAACUAUCUUUUCUAAAUGGUUUACAUCAUUAUAUGGAUUAAGUUUUUCCUGUCUUCCCUUGGAUGGACUGCUCUGUCAGUAAAGUAACAGACAUUUAGCUAUAUACAUGGCCAAUUAGUCAUUAGUGAAGCCGGAGUCAAUAAAGGUACUACUGGGAGAAAUUGAAACCUUUGCUUCACAUGAAAGGGAAAAUUUACUAAAAGAUGAGACUUCUAAGAGGAAGAACAACUUGCUUUGUUCCCUGCCAAUUCGUGACAAAUUUAGCAUUAUGCUACUAAGGGAUUAAGUUAAUCCACUUGAACUUACUUGGGAAUCUUGAAAUGAAUUAAUUCUAUAAAGAGAUAGCUUCAAGAAAUACUUCUUGCCCUGUGUCCUAAUUUCAGGAAGCUUUCAAUGUAACACAUUGGCUUUGCUUAUAACCGGACAAAUAGUAGGCUUAUCUUGCUUGACUACAAUGGUCCUAAGAUGCAUGAGGAUGAGGUUAUUUGCUUGUUGAUGUUGAUGUGAUUAGAAAACUUGGUGCUUACUGAUACUUCUUUUUGUCAAGUCGAUUCUUGCUUAGCCCUAUACCUCCAGAAAUUUUUAAGUAAAAUACUAUUCAUGGCAUGUUGGAAAUCUAAGUUUUUCUGUUGAUAAAAUAUAGGUGUGACAUAUUCUUGCUGCUUCCCAGGAAAAUCACUUUUGUCCUAAUGUUGGCAUGUACUGUUUUUGACUUACUAGAGUUUCUUAGUUGUGCUAAGGAUAGUAAACAACCUCUUUAUUAUUUAAAAGUUCUCAAAUAAGUUAAACUUGUUAUAGUGCUAUCUAGAAUUUUGUUAGAGAACUCAGAGGUAUGAAUGUCAAAAGCAUGUGGAUUUUUUCUUUUACCAUAUGAUGUUAGAGACAGAAAAAUUGUAAAGUUCACCAAAUUUUUCGUACUUUUUCUGUUAUCUUUGACAUGUAAAAUGAGUCACUAGCUUAGAUGAGUACUUUGUGCAGCUUUUUACUUCCUCUUUUAUCAUUAUUACACAUAAAAGUUCCAUUUUUCCCGCCUAUUGGAGCUCCUCCGAAGCCUUUUGAUUAUCAUUUGGUUAUUGCUCAAGCCAGUAUUGGUGGUUUGGUGUUGCUCUUUGCUUCUUGUGUUAAUUGCAAAAGCAAUAAAUUAUAAUGGUUAGGCAACCUUUUUAUACAGUUUGUUAAGAUAUACAAAUUAAUGUUUAUGUUCAGCUGAAUAUUAUACAAGGGCUACUUUGGCCUUCUCCAAAAGUUUACUGAAAGCUAGAGCAACUUGACCGGUGGUGCAAUAUAAGAACUCCUCGGUACAUACAAACCAGCAAUUAAUCUGCCUUCAGUCUGCUUCUGUUCAUCUUCUUUCUUUCUCCACUUCA
Nicotiana tabacum (common tobacco) is the source of this 2063-nucleotide long non-coding RNA. RefSeq lists it as uncharacterized. NCBI's taxonomy places the organism in Eukaryota, Viridiplantae, Streptophyta, Magnoliopsida, Solanales, Solanaceae. The record is from RefSeq and is a predicted model, not a curated record.